This 253-nucleotide ribosomal RNA is filed under the name uncultured bacterium. Its description in RNAcentral is "partial 16S ribosomal RNA". It matches the Rfam family "Bacterial small subunit ribosomal RNA", at positions 524 to 776 of the family's 1533-position model. The record is from RNAcentral.
UACGAAGGGGGCUAGCGUUGCCCGGAAUUACUGGGCGUAAAGCGCACGUAGGCGGUUCUUUAAGUCAGGGGUGAAAUCCUGGAGCUCAACUCCAGAACUGCCUUUGAUACUGGGGAUCUCGAGUCCGGGAGAGGUGAGUGGAACUCCGAGUGUAGAGGUGAAAUUCGUAGAUAUUCGGAAGAACACCAGUGGCGAAGGCGGCUCACUGGCCCGGUACUGACGCUGAGGUGCGAAAGCGUGGGGAGCAAACAGG